This 254-nucleotide ribosomal RNA is filed under the name uncultured bacterium. RNAcentral's name for it is "partial 16S ribosomal RNA". It matches the Rfam family "Bacterial small subunit ribosomal RNA", at positions 524 to 776 of the family's 1533-position model. The record is from RNAcentral.
UACGGGGGGAGCAAGCGUUGUUCGGAUUUACUGGGCGUAAAGGGCGCGUAGGCGGUCAGCACAAGUCAGUUGUGAAAUCUCCGGGCUUAACUCGGAAAGGUCAACUGAUACUGUGCGACUGGAGUGCAGAAGGGGCAACUGGAAUUCUCGGUGUAGCGGUGAAAUGCGUAGAUAUCGAGAGGAACACCUGCGGCGAAGGCGGGUUGCUGGGCUGACACUGACGCUGAUGCGCGAAAGCCAGGGGAGCGAACGGG